AGGGUUCGAUUCUGGCUCAGGAUGAACGCUGGCGGCGCGCUAACACAUGCAAGUCGAACGGUUAAAGCACCUUAGGGUGUGCAUAAAGUGGCGAACGGCUGAGUAACACGUGGGCAACCUGCCCCCCGCACCGGGAUAGCCUCGGGAAACCGUGGGUAAUACCGGAUACUCCGCCACCCCCGCAUGGGGGAGGCGGGAAAGCGUACACGGCGGGGGAUGGGGCCCGCGGCCUGUUAGCUCGUUGGCGGGGUAACGGCCCACCAAGGCGAUUAUGGGUAGCCGGGUUGAGAGACCGACCGGCCAAAUUGGGACUGAGACACGGCCCAGACUCCUACGGGAGGCAGCAGUGGGGAAUCUUGCACAAUGGGCGAAAGCCUGAUGCCAGCGACGCCGCGUGCGGGACGAAGGCCCUCGGGUUGCAAACCGCUUUCAGCAGGGACGAGGCGCGAGUGACGGUACCUGCAGAAGAAGCCCCGGCUAACUACGUGCCAGCCGCCGC
This 499-nucleotide ribosomal RNA is filed under the name uncultured bacterium. Its description in RNAcentral is "bacterial SSU rRNA". It matches the Rfam family "Bacterial small subunit ribosomal RNA", at positions 8 to 518 of the family's 1533-position model. The record is from RNAcentral.